Oreochromis aureus is the source of this 672-nucleotide long non-coding RNA. RefSeq lists it as uncharacterized. The transcript has 4 exons. The record is from RefSeq and is a predicted model, not a curated record. NCBI's taxonomy places the organism in Eukaryota, Metazoa, Chordata, Actinopteri, Cichliformes, Cichlidae.
CACGCUAGUAGAGACCGGCUACAAGGAUGGGCAGCUGUUUUCGCAAAGUCAGCCAACCACUUGCUUCCAAAUGACCCUUAUCCAGAAGUAUCCGUGAGUGCCUCAUCAACAGAAACUAAAGUGGAGACCUACCUCUCAGAGAAAAACGCACACAUAAGAAAAGCCGACCCACUUCAGUACUGGGAAGAACAUCCUAAUCUGUUUCCCUCUAUGGCUGCUGUUGCGAUCCCAGUGUGCCCCCUGUAGCUCUGUGGACAGUUUUGGAUUUGUUUACAUCUCACCCAACCGCUCACGGCAGAUGGCUGCACCUCUCUAAGCCUGGUUCUGCCGGAGGUUUCUUCCUGUUAAAAGGGAGUUUUUCUGAACACACUCUACCACCAACAAGGACAGCUCACCAGUGGGAACUGAUAGAGAAGACUGCUGAUGCUCUCAUCCAUUGAAGAGCUGACCAGAAAUGUGAUCAGAGAGACUGCAACUGCACCUGAUGGGAUCCCUGCCAUAACAGAUGUGUUCUGUCCAGUGAAGGCAGUGGAGAAGCCCUACACUGAUCUUGAAACUGUGCCACGCUAGUAGAGACCGGCUACAAGGAUGGGCAGCUGUUUUCGCAAAGUCAGCCAACCACUUGCUUCCAAAUGACCCUUAUCCAGAAGUAUCCGUGAGUGCCUCAUCAAC